GUCUACAGCCAUGCUACCCUGAACAAAACCGAUCUCGUCUGAUCUUGGAAGCUAAGCAGGGUUGGGCCUGGUUAGUACUUGGAUGGAAGACCACCUAGGAAGCCCAGGUACUGUAGGCG
This 119-nucleotide ribosomal RNA is filed under the name Pteropus alecto (black flying fox). The record is from RNAcentral. Lineage: Eukaryota; Metazoa; Chordata; Mammalia; Chiroptera; Pteropodidae.